CGGGGUGGAGUAACGCGUGGGUAACCUGCCCUGUACAGGGGGAUAACAGUCAGAAAUGACUGCUAAUACCGCAUAAGACCACAGCACCGCAUGGUGCAGGGGUAAAAACUACCGGUGGUACAGGAUGGACCCGCGUCUGAUUAGCUGGUUGGUGAGGUAACGGCUCACCAAGGCGACGAUCAGCAGCCGGCUUGAGAGAGUGAACGGCCACAUUGGGACUGAGACACGGCCCAA
Molecule: ribosomal RNA, 234 nt
Filed under: uncultured bacterium
Lineage: Bacteria
Description: partial 16S ribosomal RNA
Rfam family: Bacterial small subunit ribosomal RNA
Source: RNAcentral